AUACGUAGGGUGCAAGCGUUAAUCGGAAUUACUGGGCGUAAAGCGUGCGCAGGCGGUUUUGGAAGACAGAGGGGAAAAUCCCGGGCUCAACCUGGGAAGUGCCUUUGUGCAUGCAAGGCGAGCGUGCGGCAGAGGGGGAUGGAAUUCCGGGUGUAGCCGGGAAAUGCGUAGAUAUGCGGAGGAACACCGAUGGCGAAGGCAAUCCCCUGGGCCUGUACUGACGCUCAUGCACGAAAGCGUGGGGAGCAAACAGGAUUAGAUACCCUGGUAGUCCACGCCCUAAACGAUGUCAACUGGUUGUUGGGUCUUCAUUGACUCAGUAACGAAGCUAACGCGUGAAGUUGACCGCCUGGGGAGUACGGCCGCAAGGUUGAAACUCAAAUGAAUUGACGGG
Molecule: ribosomal RNA, 394 nt
Filed under: uncultured bacterium
Lineage: Bacteria
Description: partial 16S ribosomal RNA
Rfam family: Bacterial small subunit ribosomal RNA
Source: RNAcentral